CUUCGACACUCCUGAAGUGUUUCCACUUUUGUGUGCCAUAUGCAUCAGAGGUUUAGCCAACAGUCCGUGGGUGUGACGUCUGAGGCUGAGACUAGAUUGCAAGUCAGCAAAAAUAAGCAAGAGCACAAAAGAAACCACCGCCAGUCCUCAGGCGCUGACUGCGAGGUAGAGCGUCAGAGAGGGAGAGACUGAAAGAGAAAGAAAGACUUGGAGCCAAGUAUGAGCAGUAUCCACUGACCUGACAGUGAUGGCCCUUCUGAGUACAUAAACUCCACAAGAUAUCCUCCCCUGCCACUGACUGUGAGUUACCCAUGAGGCUGUGGGGCUACUUUGGGCCGCCCAUUGUGAUCAGGCCUGUGUGCUGAGAUCAUGAGGGGAACCAGACUGGCAGGCACUCUGCGGCUUCCUCUGAGAUACCAGAUCAAGUAAAUCAGAAUUAGAACUCGUUAGCCCUUCAGGAGCCCUGAUGACUGCGACUCCUCACUGAGCACCCAGCGGCUGUCCACUGUGGGAAAAAAGGUGC
Cyprinus carpio carpio is the source of this 523-nucleotide long non-coding RNA. The record is from Ensembl. NCBI's taxonomy places the organism in Eukaryota, Metazoa, Chordata, Actinopteri, Cypriniformes, Cyprinidae.